Molecule: ribosomal RNA, 433 nt
Filed under: uncultured bacterium
Lineage: Bacteria
Description: partial 16S ribosomal RNA
Rfam family: Bacterial small subunit ribosomal RNA
Source: RNAcentral
AACGAACGCUGGCGGCAUGCCUAACACAUGCAAGUCGAACGAGACCUUCGGGUCUAGUGGCGCACGGGUGCGUAACGCGUGGGAACCUGCCCUUAGGUUCGGAAUAACUCCCCGACAGGGGUGCUAAUACCGGAUAAUGCCUUCGGACCAAAGAUUUAUCGCCUUUGGAUGGGCCCGCGUUGGAUUAGCUAGUUGGUAGGGUAAAAGCCUACCAAGGCGACGAUCCAUAGCUGGUCUGAGAGGAUGAUCAGCCACACUGGGACUGAGACACGGCCCAGACUCCUACGGGAGGCAGCAGUGGGGAAUAUUGGACAAUGGGCGAAAGCCUGAUCCAGCAAUGCCGCGUGAGUGAUGAAGGCCUUAGGGUUGUAAAGCUCUUUUACCCGGGAUGAUAAUGACAGUACCGGGAGAAUAAGCUCCGGCUAACUCCGUG